AAACAAGAAGACAUGGUUGAUGUGAACCUCAAGCCUACUGUCAAUUCAUCCCAGAAUGAGCAGCAAGGAGGCGGUUGCGCAUGUUAGAGAUUUUGUAUUUAAAAAAAAAAAUGAAGACAGGAAUUGAAGCACUUUCAAUACUCAAUUAUACCCCCAACUGAAAUCAGAAUACAAGAGGAAUGGUGAUUUUGACAUGAACUACUCUGACAGCAAGAAGAUAAUUGCAACAGAUUGGUGCCAUUUGUUCAAUAUGCCAUCCAGGUUUCAAUUUUCUU
This 275-nucleotide unclassified non-coding RNA is filed under the name Hevea brasiliensis (rubber tree). The record is from RNAcentral. Lineage: Eukaryota; Viridiplantae; Streptophyta; Magnoliopsida; Malpighiales; Euphorbiaceae.